GACGAACGCUGGCGGCGUGCUUAACACAUGCAAGUCGAACGCUGAAGCACCGGCUUGCUGGUGUGGAUGAGUGGCGAACGGGUGAGUAAUACGUGAGUAACCUGCCCUUGACUCUGGGAUAAGCCCGGGAAACUGGGUCUAAUACUGGAUGCUACAUGUCACCGCAUGGUGGUGUGUGGAAAGGGUUUACUGGUCUUGGAUGGGCUCACGGCCUAUCAGCUUGUUGGUGAGGUAAUGGCUCACCAAGGCGACGACGGGUAGCCGGCCUGAGAGGGUGACCGGCCACACUGGGACUGAGACACGGCCCAGACUCCUACGGGAGGCAGCAGUGGGGAAUAUUGCACAAUGGGCGAAAGCCUGAUGCAGCGACGCCGCGUGAGGGAUGACGGCCUUCGGGUUGUAAACCUCUUUCAGCAGGGAAGAAGCCACAAGUGACGGUACCUGCAGAAGAAGCGCCGGCUAACUACGUGCCAGCAGCCGCCGCAG
This 486-nucleotide ribosomal RNA is filed under the name uncultured bacterium. RNAcentral describes it as "partial 16S ribosomal RNA". It matches the Rfam family "Bacterial small subunit ribosomal RNA", at positions 28 to 523 of the family's 1533-position model. The record is from RNAcentral.